GCCAUCAUUUAAAGAAAGCGUAAUAGCUCACUGGUCGAGUCGGCCUGCGCGGAAGAUGUAACGGGGCUAAACCAUGCACCGAAGCUGCGGCAGCGACAUGAAAGUGUUGCUGGGUAGGGGAGCGUUCUGUAAGCCGCAGAAGGUGGCCUGUGAGGGCUGCUGGAGGUAUCAGAAGUGCGAAUGCUGACAUAAGUAACGAUAAAGCGGGUGAAAAACCCGCUCGCCGGAAGACCAAGGGUUCCUGUCCAACGUUAAUCGGGGCAGGGUGAGUCGACCCCUAAGGCGAGGCCGACAGGCGUAGUCGAUGGGCAACAGGUUAAUAUUCCUGUACCCGGUGUGACUGCGAAGGGGGGACGGAGAAGGCUAGGCCAGCCGGGCGACGGUCGUCCCGGUUGAAGCGUGUAGGUGGGUGGUUUUGGAAAAUCCGGACCGCUGAUAACACUGAGGCGUGAUAACGAGGCACUACGGUGCUGAAGUGGUUGAUGCCCUGCUUCCAGGAAAAGCCUCUAAGCAUCAGGUCACAUUGGAUCGUACCCCAAACCGACACAGGUGGUCAGGUAGAGAAUACUCAGGCGCUUGAGAGAACUCGGGUGAAGGAACUAGGCAAAAUGGUGCCGUAACUUCGGGAGAAGGCACGCUGGCGCCAGGUGAAGGAACGAGCUUCCGGAGCCGAGGCCAGUCGCAGAUACCAGCUGGCUGCAACUGUUUAAUAAAAACACAGCACUGUGCAAACACGCAAGUGGACGUAUACGGUGUGACGCCUGCCCGGUGCUGGAAGGUUAAUUGAUGGGGUUAUCGCGUUGCGAGAAGCUCUUGAUCGAAGCCCCAGUAAACGGCGGC
This 840-nucleotide ribosomal RNA is filed under the name Xenorhabdus nematophila. Its description in RNAcentral is "bacterial LSU rRNA". It matches the Rfam family "Bacterial large subunit ribosomal RNA", at positions 1115 to 1934 of the family's 2925-position model. The record is from RNAcentral. Lineage: Bacteria; Pseudomonadati; Pseudomonadota; Gammaproteobacteria; Enterobacterales; Morganellaceae.